GUGCUUGUUUCAGCAGCACAUAUACUAAAAUUGGAAUGAUACAGAGAAGACUAGCCUGGCCCCUGCGCAUGGAUGACAUGCAAAUUUGUGAAGUGUUCCAUAUUUCA
RNAcentral lists this small nuclear RNA (107 nucleotides) under Notechis scutatus (mainland tiger snake). Lineage: Eukaryota; Metazoa; Chordata; Lepidosauria; Squamata; Elapidae. The record is from RNAcentral.